UACGGAGGGUGCGAGCGUUGUUCGGAAUUACUGGGCGUAAAGCGCGUGUAGGCGGUCGAGCCAGUCCGAUGUGAAAGCCUUCCGCUUAACGGAAGAAGUGCAUUGGAAACUACUCGGCUGGAGUUCGGGAGAGGAGAGUGGAAUUCCUGGUGUAGAGGUGAAAUUCGUAGAUAUCAGGAGGAACACCGGUGGCGAAGGCGGCUCUCUGGCCCGGUACUGACGCUGAGACGCGAAAGCGUGGGGAGCAAAC
RNAcentral lists this ribosomal RNA (250 nucleotides) under uncultured bacterium. RNAcentral describes it as "partial 16S ribosomal RNA". It matches the Rfam family "Bacterial small subunit ribosomal RNA", at positions 524 to 773 of the family's 1533-position model. The record is from RNAcentral.